UGCGCCUACGGGACGCAGCAGUAGGGAAUCUUCCACAAUGGACGAAAGUCUGAUAGAGCAACGCCGCGUGAGUGAAGAAGGGUUUCGGCUCGUAAAGCUCUGUUGGUAGUGAAGAAAGAUAGAGGUAGUAACUGGCCUUUAUUUGACGGUAAUUACUUAGAAAGUCACGGCUAACUACGUGCCAGCAGCCGCGGUAAUACGUAAGUGGCAAGCGUUGUCCGGAUUUAUUGGGCGUAAA
Molecule: ribosomal RNA, 238 nt
Filed under: uncultured bacterium
Lineage: Bacteria
Description: partial 16S ribosomal RNA
Rfam family: Bacterial small subunit ribosomal RNA
Source: RNAcentral